This is a long non-coding RNA of Microtus oregoni (creeping vole), 367 nucleotides long. RefSeq lists it as uncharacterized. The transcript has 3 exons. Lineage: Eukaryota; Metazoa; Chordata; Mammalia; Rodentia; Cricetidae. The record is from RefSeq and is a predicted model, not a curated record.
AGGAACUCUCAAAGUUGAGACAGGAAAUAUAUUCAUCCCAUAACCAACCCUCCAGUGUUGGAAGGACAACAAUCACCACAAAAAAGUACAGGACACAAUAUCCAAUCCUAGGUCUCCUGUAUGAUGACUAUGAAUAUAUACCACCAGGAAGUGACACACAGACUAUCGUGAUUGAGAAAACUGAAGAUAAAUGGACUCAUCCAUGAAUGGAUCCACUUUUCAGGACUACAAUUCAAAGGAAAUUUUCUGUCUGCAUCAGUAUUUUAAUAGUUAUUUUCUAUUGCUAAAGCACAAUCAAAUUGUGAACCAUAGUCCUAUCCCAAUCAAUCUAAUAAGAUGAUUUAAUUAUGAAGAUGAGUUCCCCCAG